This 1048-nucleotide ribosomal RNA is filed under the name Salmonella enterica subsp. enterica serovar Heidelberg. RNAcentral's name for it is "partial 23S ribosomal RNA". It matches the Rfam family "Bacterial large subunit ribosomal RNA", at positions 711 to 1757 of the family's 2925-position model. The record is from RNAcentral. RNAcentral also lists the same sequence under 3 other names. Lineage: Bacteria; Pseudomonadati; Pseudomonadota; Gammaproteobacteria; Enterobacterales; Enterobacteriaceae.
AGACCCGAAACCCGGUGAUCUAGCCAUGGGCAGGUUGAAGGUUGGGUAACACUAACUGGAGGACCGAACCGACUAAUGUUGAAAAAUUAGCGGAUGACCUGUGGCUGGGGGUGAAAGGCCAAUCAAACCGGGAGAUAGCUGGUUCUCCCCGAAAGCUAUUUAGGUAGCGCCUCGUGAAUUCAUCUCCGGGGGUAGAGCACUGUUUCGGCUAGGGGGCCAUCCCGGCUUACCAACCCGAUGCAAACUGCGAAUACCGGAGAAUGUUAUCACGGGAGACACACGGCGGGUGCUAACGUCCGUCGUGAAGAGGGAAACAACCCAGACCGCCAGCUAAGGUCCCAAAGUCAUGGUUAAGUGGGAAACGAUGUGGGAAGGCCCAGACAGCCAGGAUGUUGGCUUAGAAGCAGCCAUCAUUUAAAGAAAGCGUAAUAGCUCACUGGUCGAGUCGGCCUGCGCGGAAGAUGUAACGGGGCUAAACCAUGCACCGAAGCUGCGGCAGCGACACUGUGUGUUGUUGGGUAGGGGAGCGUUCUGUAAGCCUGUGAAGGUGUGUCGUGAGGCAUGCUGGAGGUAUCAGAAGUGCGAAUGCUGACAUAAGUAACGAUAAAGCGGGUGAAAAGCCCGCUCGCCGGAAGACCAAGGGUUCCUGUCCAACGUUAAUCGGGGCAGGGUGAGUCGACCCCUAAGGCGAGGCCGAAAGGCGUAGUCGAUGGGAAACGGGUUAAUAUUCCCGUACUUGGUGUUACUGCGAAGGGGGGACGGAGAAGGCUAUGUUGGCCGGGCGACGGUUGUCCCGGUUUAAGCGUGUAGGUGUGUGUUCCAGGUAAAUCCGGUUCACUUUAACACUGAGGCGUGACGACGAGGCACUACGGUGCUGAAGCAACAAAUGCCCUGCUUCCAGGAAAAGCCUCUAAGCAUCAGGUAACAUCAAAUCGUACCCCAAACCGACACAGGUGGUCAGGUAGAGAAUACCAAGGCGCUUGAGAGAACUCGGGUGAAGGAACUAGGCAAAAUGGUGCCGUAACUUCGGGAGAAGGCACGCUGACAC